Molecule: ribosomal RNA, 840 nt
Filed under: uncultured bacterium
Lineage: Bacteria
Description: bacterial SSU rRNA
Rfam family: Bacterial small subunit ribosomal RNA
Source: RNAcentral
GCUUACCCAUGCAAGUCGAACGAUGAAGCCCAGCUUGCUGGGUGGAUUAGUGGCGAACGGGUGAGUAACACGUGAGUAACCUGCCCUUUCCUCUGGGAUAACUCCGGGAAACCGGUGCUAAUACUGGAUAUGACUCCUUCCUGCAUGGGUUGGGGUGGAAAGAUUUUUUGGGAUUGGAUGGACUCGCGGCCUAUCAGCUUGUUGGUGGGGUAAUGGCCUACCAAGGCGACGACGGGUAGCCGGCCUGAGAGGGUGACCGGCCACACUGGGACUGAGACACGGCCCAGACUCCUACGGGAGGCAGCAGUGGGGAAUAUUGCACAAUGGGCGAAAGCCUGAUGCAGCGACGCCGCGUGAGGGAUGAAGGCCUUCGGGUUGUAAACCUCUUUCAGCUCUGACGAAUCUUUUUGUGACGGUAGGAGCAGAAGAAGCACCGGCUAACUACGUGCCAGCAGCCGCGGUAAUACGUAGGGUGCGAGCGUUGUCCGGAAUUAUUGGGCGUGAAGAGCUUGUAGGCGGUUUGUCGCGUCUGCUGUGAAAUCCCGGGGCUUAACCCCGGGCUUGCAGUGGGUACGGGCAGGCUAGAGUGUGGUAGGGGAGACUGGAAUUCCUGGUGUAGCGGUGGAAUGCGCAGAUAUCAGGAGGAACACCGAUGGCGAAGGCAGGUCUCUGGGCCACUACUGACGCUGAGAAGCGAAAGCGUGGGGAGCGAACAGGAUUAGAUACCCUGGUAGUCCACGCCGUAAACGUUGGGCGCUAGGUGUGGGUCCCAUUCCACGGGGUCCGUGCCGCAGCUAACGCAUUAAGCGCCCCGUCUGGGGAGUACGGCCGCAGGGCUAA